AUGCACGCGCGCGGCCCCGCGCUGCAAAUUUCCACCGGGGAGGGAGAGUGGCUGGAUGCGGAGAGUUUGGAGUUGCUUGCAGCGGAGGGCAGGAAGGGGAGCAGGGCCGGGAAAGGGGGCUGGCGGGCGCUAUAUCUGGGAGUAAGUUUCCAGGAACGGGAGAGCCUGCACGCUUGCUCGCUACUCUGCUCGCCCCUCAUCUCACCCCCCAGGCGAAGACUGGUCUUCUUGUCGGAUUGCCCAUGCACUUGUUGCAGAAACAGCCAAGAUUUCCAGAUUGAGAAUUUGAUAUUUGGCAGCUUGAGAGUUGAGUUAGUUGGGAAUUAAAUAUUAUUGCCACUUAUCAAGUGUUCCUAACUAGGCAUUCGUUAAACAAAUUAGCUAUUAUUUUUCCCCUGCUGAAAAUCUGAGUCUGGUUGAUGUAUAUGCUGGGAAGGUAAACAAAAUCUUUAUGUGUGUUUAUCCCAGGGAAGGGGAAUUAUUUACAUGUCUACCCUUGAAGCCAAGAGCAGUCAUUCAGUGUUUUUUUUUUUAAUUUAUGAGAUUUAUUUUAUUGUCUUGCUUUGGCCAUUAAUCAAGUCACAGGAGCUUUUUUUCCCUCUUCUGAGAAUGUUCUUGUGGUAAUAAAGGUUUGAAGGCCCAUGAAUCAUAAUUCAUUCUUUUAAAAAUAUUGUCAGGAUUUGAUUUAUAGGAAUUGAUACAGGCAGUGACACACCUCUUUGGGCUCCGCCCUUUUAGGCAUGUCCAUUUUCGCCAAAGAAUUGUUUAAGAAGCCUGCUUGACAUCUCAAAAAAAAGCGUUUCCCUUCUGCUUUAAGAGCACUGAGAAGAUUAAUUUUGCGGGUUCCAUAGUAAGCAUGGGUCUUUUCACAGCUUGGUAAGCAGGCUUCCACAUAGCAGGCAUGUGUUAAUAUCACAUAGCGUUUAUGUGAGCUUGCUGUGAAAACAGUUGUUCUAUGAACUGUGUGGAAAGUACUCAGUUUUGCCUCUUUUAACCCACUUGGGCCUGUGGUUUUUGUUGAGGUAGGAGCUUUCAUUGUAAAAGAGGCAAUAGUCUGUAGUGUUCUUUGCUGCUUAUAUAAUAAAAUAUGUGGUCACAGAAACAAGACUUAGUUAAAAUUCUUUUUCUCCUGCUCUGAUGGGUGGCUUGGUCCUAAGAAUCAAAAGCAUUGGUGUUUUUGAGGGAAGUAUGAGAAUUCUCUAUAAAGCUGAUUAAUCAGGAAAUGGUAAAAUUGUCUUGUGUUCAGCCAUUGGCUCAGUUUACAGUAUCUGUAAAAUGACAAGAACUUUUAAGGUGGUUUGAUUCUUAGGCCAGGAGGACAGGGUCACUGGAAAGAAAAGUGGGGAGGUUAUCAGCAUCUAACCAUUUCUGGGCUUCAGAAUUUUUAUCUUAAAAAUGCGUGGUUUGAUCCGUGAGUUGCAUCCGUCUCUGAAAUUCUGUGACUCGGUCUUGUGGAGAGAAGUCUCAAGAGAUCUCCACAGUCCGUCUCUUCCUGGGCCAACGGCCAGAUUGCCUCAUGGACUUGGGCGUUGAUUAACUUCUCUUUUUGUCUUCUCCUGGAGAGAGUGGAUUUAUACCUUGGCAUUCCAAAAAGGACUCUUGAAUGGCCCGGUAAUCUUGACUGUCAAAUGCAAGGAAAUACUUUGUC
Long non-coding RNA from Capra hircus (goat), 1648 nucleotides. The record is from Ensembl. NCBI's taxonomy places the organism in Eukaryota, Metazoa, Chordata, Mammalia, Artiodactyla, Bovidae.